GUAGAGGCAGGAGGGCUCAGCCUGAGCCUUGGCGUUUGGCAUCCCCCCAAUUCCUGGGUGUCCUCUGUCCCCUCAGCCAGUUCCUCCUUUACUUGAGCCCUCAAAUGGGACCUUCCCUCUGUCUCCUCCUCCCCUCACUGGAAAUGAAGAUGGUAGAGUGUGGCUGUUGGGAUAAUUAAACAAACCACCGGCUCAGGACAGCUCAGGGCCCUGAGCAGGCAUUCCACAUCCCUGUCAGUCAGUGUCACUGGGGCCCUAACCCCACAUGUCAGCUGCCACCACCACCAGUAUCUGAGCUCCUGUCUGAGUGUUCCGUCCCUUGACAUGUCCCAGAGAGACAAACUUGCCCCCAGAUCCUGGCCCGCUGGAUGCAUCAUCAUCCUCCUGGUUCUUGGCCUCGAAGCCCCCCACGCCCAAAAGAUCCCUCCAUCCUGCCUCCAACCCCUGCAAGUGCCACCACUGCAGCAGUGAUACAAGGCCAAGCUGACGGGUGACCUCGCCUGGUCCUGUGAGGAUCACAGAUGAGAACCAGGUGCAGGAGUGAGGGGCUUCUGUGUCACAGCCGAGAGGUGUAGGCCACCGCCAGGCAGCACAUUCCAGGUCCCGGCCUGCACCCCAAAAGGCUGAGAGCGAUGGCUGCACAGGAUGGGAGGUGCUCGCCUCUGCUGCUGGUCCUCCCUAGACUCCUGCCCAGCCCCAGCCCCUCUGGCUCCUGCCCACUCAGACCCAUCACGCCCACGUCGCCUAGUCUGUUGCCACACCAUGUCCUCCACGCCUCCACUUCUGCUGCUUUUAAGAACCAGGAAAUGGAUUUCAAACAGCCAGAAGAUGGCAGCCGACUCCCUCCCCAUGCCCUCCGUUCCUGUCUUUGGGUCCAGUUGCCCUGCCACAUGGCUCCCUGUGGCCUCAGACUCACCAAUAGAUGAGGGCUCUGCUCUCGUCAAGUUAUGUUCCAGAGAGAAAAGAGAGAAUAAACAUGAG
RNAcentral lists this long non-coding RNA (981 nucleotides) under Equus caballus (horse). RNAcentral describes it as "lncRNA (ENSECAG00000051920.1)". The record is from RNAcentral. Lineage: Eukaryota; Metazoa; Chordata; Mammalia; Perissodactyla; Equidae.